ACUAAAGGUGGACUUUUAACAAGUGCAGUGACAAUGCAGGGGCAGUCAAUAAAUGGAACAGCAAGGCCACAGAACAUGACAUAAGCAGAGCUGUGGUAGAGCCGGGGGUGGUGUUUACCACUCCACCACGCCUUCAGCAGGCUGGAAAAGAGUGAUUGAUACGGUUUUUCAUACUAAGGUGGACCAAUAGUUUGUUGAUUGGUCAGUCAUUGGGAGGGGCUCUGAAAGACACUAUGGGGGUGUCCACUGGAAGUUGACUAGUAACAACAACUGGGACCUAAAAGACACCCACCAUGAGACCCACUAAAUCUGCCCAAGAAGAG
Molecule: long non-coding RNA, 323 nt
Filed under: Salmo salar (Atlantic salmon)
Lineage: Eukaryota; Metazoa; Chordata; Actinopteri; Salmoniformes; Salmonidae
Description: lncRNA (ENSSSAG00000105379.1)
Source: RNAcentral